Equus quagga is the source of this 3716-nucleotide long non-coding RNA. RefSeq lists it as uncharacterized. The transcript has 4 exons. NCBI's taxonomy places the organism in Eukaryota, Metazoa, Chordata, Mammalia, Perissodactyla, Equidae. The record is from RefSeq and is a predicted model, not a curated record.
UGGGCACCGCGUCUCCCCGCUGUUAAAGGCCCCACGUAUCUCUGCCAGUUCUGUCGAGUUGUGACCCGUACCCACCGCGGGAGUCGUAGUAGGGAUGCUAAGGGACGCAGGAGGCCUAGAAUGGCGAGCCUUCGGGCGGAGUCAGGAUUUAGGGGAGGUGUAUCUGGCCAAACGUGGACUCCCCUUCUCGCUCCUGCCGUGCUCGGGUCACUUGUCCCCUGCCCUUAACGGUCCUGGUGGCUCUGCCGCAGCUUCUGUCACCCUGUGACCUGCACUGGCCGUGGGGCUCGUAGGAAGGACUCAGGGGACCCAGGAGAUCUAGAAAUGAUGUGGUUGAGUCUGUUCUGUCCAGUCCUGUGUCCACAGCCUCUCAGCUGCACUUGGCCUUCCCUCUGAGGGACAUGAUACCCCUUUACUGGGUUGUCCUCAUGGAUCUUCCACAGCUGUGCCCUCCCACAGUCAUUGCAGGCGGGGUCUGAACUGCAUCCUGGUUUCUCCAAGAACACAGGUAUGACAUUACAUUAAUGACAUCUUGUCUGAGGACAUUUAGGACAUACAAAUAUUGUAAAAACGAGCUCACAAAAACUGGAUGGCACAUUGUCACUCAUAUGAUGUGAGGCCCUGACAACUUUGUUAAAUUUCUGGAAAUAUUUGAUAAUCUGAAACUAUGAAGAAAUAGCUGUUGUUUCCCUCAGCAUCCACAACAUCUCCUGGGUUCUUCUCCUGUUCCAGAGGUAACAUAUUUCUUGUAUUCAAAUUUUAUUUGAGCCUAUUUGUGCUGUUGCUUGCAAAUUUUCCACCUGGAGUGGCACCCCCUACCACAAAAGUCUGGAGACUCUCUUUAAAUUGUCAUACAACCAACUCUCCUGUUAGUGCCCUCAGAGACUCCUUCACUAUAGAGGCCUCAGUGACCUUCUGUCAUGCCUUCUGGGGUACCCAUGGUGGCCUUAAGUUGGCCAUGGGCUUCUGAUGGAAGAACCAGCCCUAGGCCCACAGUAUAUGUCAUUAGAGCUGCAGUGACCUCUACUUACAAGGCUGUCCUGCCAGUAGAUGGCCCUGAGCAUGGGACCAUGUAUCGAGCAGUCCGUUUUGACUUGUGACCUGGGAACAGCACUCCAGGAGCUCAGCAUGGUUAUGGAGACCCCCUGGAGACAUGAUGAAGCCAAACCUGGGCCCUCUGGGAUAUCCUACCUCCAGGAGGAGGUGAUAUUCCCUGUCUUCAGUCUCCUGCCGGGUAAAAUGGUGUUGAAGGAGGUCACCCCUUUCCCAGAAUCCCAGGCUCCCUGGGGAGCUCCUUAGGACUCCCUAAGUGUAAAGCAACAGGAGUUCCUAGACUUUGGGGAUGACAUCAUCACAUUUGCACAAAUGGAGCCCAGGCGGAGUUGCUGCUUUUCAUGUCUUAAUUGUGACAUCUCUGAUGGACUGGACACAAAGGUCAACGCACUGACCACACAGCAAGCACUCAUCGUAGCACUGCCCAACAUUGGGCUCCAGCUGCAGACAUUACAGACUAUGGGCGAUUCCCUGAGAGUUGCCCCUUUGUGGUAAAAGGACUCUAGGAGUCUCUUGCCUCACAGUUACCUACAAUAUAAAUCAAAGUAACACUUGUCUCUGCGCAUAUGAAGGCCACACACAAAGUCUCACCAGGCCACUCUGUCCACAUGGGAGUUGCAGACACUACUGAUAGUAAUGAAGGCACUCAUUUCACUUCUCAGAAUAUACAGUGCUGGGCUCUUAACAAGGCGUUCAAUGGAAGUUCCUCCUCUCUUCCAAGUCUCAGGGUGCAGGCCUCAGAGAGAAACUUAAUGACUUAUUAAAAUAAGUUCAAAUUAGUUGAAUGAAAGAUGGUCUGUUUCUGUCAUCAGUCACUCACCAGGGGUGAAUAUUAAUGUGCCUGUCUUUACUGUUUUCCUAGUAGACUGCUUUGUUUUAGGGUCAGUUUUAGGUUUACAGAAAACUUGACUGGAAAGUACAGAGAUUUCCCACAUAAUUCCUCUGCCUCCACACAGUUUGCCCUACAUUUUAUAUCUCCUAUUGCUGUGGUACAUUUGAUACAUUUGAUGAACCAAUUUGAUGCAUGAAAUUUCAUAGUUUACAUUAGUGGUGACUCUGUGUUAUGCAAUCUCUGGGCUUUGGCUAAUGUAACACUUUACAUUGCAUUUAUGUGGAACACUUGCACUUCUCUAAAAAUCUCCUGUGCUCCACCUUUUCAUUCAUCCCUCCCUCCCCCAAAUCCCUGGUAACCAAUGAUCUUUCAGUGUCAUCUUUAAUCUUUUGUAGAAUGUCCCAUGCUUGGAAUCAUACAGUGUAUAGUCUUGUCACACUGGCUUCUUUCAGUUAGCAAUAUGAUUUUAAUAUGUCUCCAUUUCUGUCUUGAUAACCUCAUUUGUGUUCAUCACUGAAGAAUGUUUUACCCUAUGGAUGUCCCCAUGAUUGUUUAUCCUUUCGCCUAUUGAAAUUAUCUUGGUUACAUCUAGGUCUCGACAAUAAGGCACAAAGCUCCUGUCAACAUUCACGUGCAGGGAUUUUUGUGAACAUCUGUUUUCAGCUCAUUUGGGUAAGGUCAAAUGCCAGAGUCCAGCUCCAGCAGAGUCCAGGUUCCUGAGGGAUGAACGGCGUCGGCGAAGGGAAGGGAAUGAGACUGCACACCAAGUUGGUGGAAGCAAGUCUGAAGUCUUUAUUGUCAAGCGUGUGUUUAUAUAUAUUUUGAGGAUUACAUAAGCGUCUGGGGUACAUCUAUUUUCUCCCCUGAAGUAGCUUGAUUUUUCCCCAUGAUAUCAUUUUACUUCCUUAAUUUAUCUGGGUCAUCAGCAGUUUCUAAAGGUUACUUCCCUUAUUCAGUCCUGGGAAAGAGCUGUUGUUUUCAUUUUCUGGGUAAGUGCAGUUAAUAUUUAUAGAUCUCUACAGUAUUCUUUGCAGGGGGUGAGACUCGGGUUAUGCUGGAGGACGGAACAAGCCUUGGGGCAAAGAUGAGCCAAGGGCCCUGGGGAUGUUGAAGGAGUGUUAGUCAGAAGAGGGUCUUUCUUGUCUACUACAGUGGGAUUCACCUUUCCCAGCAGAUUCCCCUGGGUAAGCACAAGCGUCAUGAAGAGAGCCAAUACAGCAACUAGUAACAGCAGAUUGAGCAAGGAGGACCCUCGGCCGUUCCUGCAGGGGUUGCUUUGCAACUCCCGUGCUUCGUGUGCCCCGACUGUGUCACUGGGCUGCAGCGGUUGCAGGACGGCGUCUGUCAUUCAAAGAACGUGAUGGCUGCAAUCGUAUGGUGUUUCGACUUGUUGGGGGGGCCUCUCGGACAUAGGGAGACCCUGCCCCUCCCAGGGGUACCUCAUUCCACAUUGGCGGUGGACAGCUUAUGUGGAGCAGGCCUCUCAUGUGCAUCCUGCCCGAUCCAGUGCCCUGUCCCUACAGACCUCCUUAUCUGCCUCUCACACGCCAGACAGUAUUCCCCACUCCAAACCCACCCAGGGCCAGGAACCAGAUGACUGAGGACCAUCCCUAGGCCCCAGAGGCUGCUGGGAUUGUUCAAAGCAGCUGGUCCUGAGCUGCUCACUCUGCCCUGACUCACAUUUCCUGUGGCCCCAAAUGAAGGCUGUGGCCUAGGUUUGUGUCCCCCUACUGAUUCUGCCUCCUGAGCAACCCUGAUGCAGCCCCUGUGAGCCUGCCUGGCAUGGUGUGCCCUUAUCUUGGGAAGUGUAAGUAAUAAACUUUCAAUGUCA